AGUGAACGCCGGCGGUAGGCCUAACACAUGCAAGUCGAACGGCAGCACAGUAAGAGCUUGCUCUUACGGGUGGCGAGUGGCGGACGGGUGAGGAAUACAUCGGAAUCUACUUUUUCGUGGGGGAUAACGUAGGGAAACUUACGCUAAUACCGCAUACGACCUACGGGUGAAAGAAGGGGAUCUUCGGACCUUGCGCGAUUGAAUGAGCCGAUGUCGGAUUAGCUAGUUGGCGGGGUAAAGGCCCACCAAGGCGACGAUCCGUAGCUGGUCUGAAAGGAUGAUCAGCCACACUGGAACUGAGACACGGUCCAGACUCCUACGGGAGGCAGCAGUGGGGAAUAUUGGACAAUGGGCGCAAGCCUGAUCCAGCCAUACCGCGUGGGUGAAGAAGGCCUUCGGGUUGUAAAGCCCUUUUGUUGGGAAAGAAAAGCAGCAGGUUAAUACCCCGCUGUUCUGACGGUACCCAAAGAAUAAGCACCGGCUAACUUCGUG
Molecule: ribosomal RNA, 492 nt
Filed under: uncultured bacterium
Lineage: Bacteria
Description: partial 16S ribosomal RNA
Rfam family: Bacterial small subunit ribosomal RNA
Source: RNAcentral